CGGCUUCCGGUGCUCGGCAGCAGCCACCCCUCGCCCCUCGCUGGGCUGGCUGCGGUCAGGCUGCGGGGUGGUGCUGGGUGGGACCAUGCACCGUUAUCUCCUCAGCAGCUACGGCUCUUCCUGUGGUUGGGGCCACGUGGGCAGGAUGGGGUUAAAAGCAGCCCCACGACGGACAGGGGCCCAUUGCUCUCUGGCCGCCGCCACCAUCACUCCAUGCAGCACCUCACCACACCGGCACCGGGCAUGUGCCACCAGCACCCAGCGUGGGCCACCGGCAUCUGGCAUACACCACCGGCACCCAGCAUGCACCACCAGCACCUGGCAUGUGCCACCAGCACCCAGCGUGGGCCACCUGUGCCCUGACCUGGUAAUGGGGGGACCCAUCCAAGGUGCCCACAUGGCUCUCAAGGAGCAGCACGGGGCCUCCUGGGGUUUGGUGGCCAUGGCCCCGAUUCCACUGUGGGGGGGGGCAGCGGGUGCUGGGGGCCGACGACAGGUAAGGGGGUGCCCCAUCCCAGGAGGGGGGUGCCGGGGGGAGGAGGCACCACACUGGCGGGUGGGUGGAGGCAGGAAGCACCCGAAGCAGAAGUGACACCCAGGGGGUUUUCAGUGGCAGUGGGGACAAGACUGGGUGACAUGGAGGCUGGCGGUGCAGACAAGGUGAGGCUGGCGGGGUGAGGGUCCAUGUGGCUUUGGGUGCAGGGACCCCCGAUUGACCCCCAGCGCAUGGCCUGAAGGGCAGUGGGAGCAUGGAAAGUGUCUCCAUGUGACUGGCAGAUGGGGCAAGGUGGAGUCCCAUGGGGAGCCGCCAGCCACGGAGCUCCUGUGGCUUCAGGGGCAGGGGGGUGAGGCAAAGUGUUCUUGGGAUAAGGAGGCAGGGAUGACACCUAGUCCCCCAUGGGGGCAUUUCAAGGGUGAUGGCAAUGGGGUUUUCUGUAGGAUGCCCACCAUGGAGACAAGGCAAAAGAGUCCUCUGUGACCAGGGUGUCAGUUAAGUUAGGUCCCAUCAUGGGGACAUGGCAAGGGGAGUCUUUGUGAUGCAGGUGGGAUUAGAGGGACAGUGGUGGAGUUUGAGAUGGGAUCUCACUUUUGGGAUCCAGAUGAGGGGGUCCUCAUGGGAUCCUCUGCGGUUUGAAAGGCAACAAUGGAGUUCAGGGUGGGAUUCCGGCAUGGGAACAAAGCAAAGGGGUCCUCUAUGAAAGGGUAUGGGGUGAAGCCUCACAUGGGGGCAUAGCAAACACGACCUCCGUACCCUGGAUGAGGUCUGAAAGGGUCCCCACCAGCAGGGACAAGGCAAUUGGGUUCUCUAUGAUCAGAAUGGGGUCUGAGGUGGAGUCACCUGCUUGGGGACAAGUCAAAGUGGUCUCCUAUGACCCGAAUGGAGUAUUAUUAGGUGGAUUCCUCUCUUUGGAGGGGGUGUGGGACGUGGCCCCGCGCGGGCGGAAGUGAGCACAUCGCUGGAGGAGAGCGACUGCCGGACACGGACUGAGAGACAGUGCAGUCACCCAUAAAGUAGAAAGCACUACUAAACAGCACUGCAGGGUGUAGUGUUUCCUACUUUAUGGAUGAGUGUACUGUGGGCUACGGAGAAGAGAGCACUGCCGCGACCCACGGGCCCAUCGCAGGCUGUCCAAGAGAGGAGGAUGGGCUGUGCCACAUGGGAAGAGGGGCCCUAUGGCCUGGUGCCCCACGUGCGCGGUGGAGGGGCCUGUUGGGUUGGAGCAAGCACCGUUCUGGGAGGCCAGGUAGGCAGCAAAGCCUCCAACUCCCAGUUUCCCCCUACCCCCACCUUCAUUUUCUGUGUGGCAAAGCCCUGGGAAGAGAUGGGUGGUGAUGGCCACGUGCAACGCGGAGAGGGAUGGGAGGUGGACAGGGGCUCCUGAGUGGCUUUGUGCUGCCAAAUGACUGCUGGGUGCAGCAGGGUGGGCAGCUGCUGAAUAAAACUCUUUCGGUGUUGA
Molecule: long non-coding RNA, 1958 nt
Organism: Pezoporus occidentalis (night parrot)
Lineage: Eukaryota; Metazoa; Chordata; Aves; Psittaciformes; Psittacidae
Exons: 2
Source: RefSeq, a predicted model, not a curated record